This 920-nucleotide ribosomal RNA is filed under the name human gut metagenome. RNAcentral describes it as "bacterial SSU rRNA". It matches the Rfam family "Bacterial small subunit ribosomal RNA", at positions 400 to 1323 of the family's 1533-position model. The record is from RNAcentral.
CGUGGAGGACGACGGCCCUACGGGUUGUAAACUCCUUUUAUAAGGGGAUAAAGUUGGCCAUGUAUGGCCAUUUGCAGGUACCUUAUGAAUAAGCAUCGGCUAAUUCCGUGCCAGCAGCCGCGGUAAUACGGAAGAUGCGAGCGUUAUCCGGAUUUAUUGGGUUUAAAGGGAGCGUAGGCGGGCAGUCAAGUCAGCGGUCAAAUGGCGCGGCUCAACCGCGUUCCGCCGUUGAAACUGGCAGCCUUGAGUAUGCACAGGGUACAUGGAAUUCGUGGUGUAGCGGUGAAAUGCUUAGAUAUCACGAGGAACUCCGAUCGCGCAGGCAUUGUACCGGGGCAUUACUGACGCUGAGGCUCGAAGGUGCGGGUAUCAAACAGGAUUAGAUACCCUGGUAGUCCGCACAGUAAACGAUGAAUGCCCGCUGUCGGCGACAUAGUGUCGGCGGCCAAGCGAAAGCGUUAAGCAUUCCACCUGGGGAGUACGCCGGCAACGGUGAAACUCAAAGGAAUUGACGGGGGCCCGCACAAGCGGAGGAACAUGUGGUUUAAUUCGAUGAUACGCGAGGAACCUUACCCGGGCUUGAAUCGCAGGUGCAUGGGCCGGAGACGGCCCUUUCCUUCGGGACUCCUGCGAAGGUGCUGCAUGGUUGUCGUCAGCUCGUGCCGUGAGGUGUCGGCUUAAGUGCCAUAACGAGCGCAACCCCCCUCCCCAGUUGCCAUCGGGUAAUGCCGGGCACUUUGGGGACACUGCCACCGCAAGGUGCGAGGAAGGUGGGGAUGACGUCAAAUCAGCACGGCCCUUACGUCCGGGGCGACACACGUGUUACAAUGGGGGGUACAGAGGGCCGCUGCCCGGUGACGGUUGGCCAAUCCCUAAAGCCCCUCUCAGUUCGGACUGGAGUCUGCAACCCGACUCCACGA